AUUGGGGCGGGGGCACAGAUCUUCAUUAGCGCCCCUUUCCUGGGCCAGGCUCGUUACAGAGCACAGGUACUGGUUAAAUGUGUCCGAUCAUUCAUCAUGAUUUUGCCCUCCACUUUGUCACAGCGUGGGGAUUUAAGGAAGAUAGAUGGUACGAGAUGUUGUCUCCUCCACAGACGCUUUCUGCUCUGCAACACUCCACGGGUGUGAUUGGCAAGCUGUGAAUCCACCCACCACCCGUGAUCACACAGGCUUCCGGUGUUCGGUGCUCAUGAAUGACAGCUUCCGGGAGUGUCUGCAGCCUCUUGGAUUCUAUUUCCCUUGGGUAAAUAUUUAUGCAUGAACUUGCUAAGUCAAAAGGUAAGUACUUUUUGUUGUCUAAUGUUUGGUUUUUAUAUUUCUCUGCGUUACUAAGGCUCCAGUCCACAGCCUUGACUAUCACUCUACCAUGGAGCUACCCACUGGUACCCAUGCUUGUUAUUUUUAUUUGUGUGUAUGUUUGUCUACAUGUUUAUGCCUCAUGUGUGUGGUUCCCUAAGAAAUCCAGAAAAGGGCAUCUGAUCCCCAGGAGCUGGAGUUAAAGGCGGGUGACCCGGCGUGGAUGCUGGGAAAUGAACUGUUCUGUGGAAGAGCAACAUGCACUCCUUACCCCUGACCCAUCUUCGACACACUGUGCUGGACUCCCCAGCCCUUGUAAGUUGCAAGGGCUGCGGAGGUGGCUCAGUGGUUAAGAGCACUGACUGCUCUUGCAGAGGACCAGGUUCAGUUCCUAGCUCCCAUGUGGUGGCUCACAACCAUCUGUAACUCCAGUUCCUGGGGAUCUGGUGCCCUCUUCUGGCCUCUAUGAGCAUCUGCAGUCAUGUACAUUUAACCACACACAGACAUAUACACAACUUUAAAAUAAUAAAAAUAAAUCUCUCCAUAUAUAUGUAUGUAUAUGUGUGUGUAUAUAUUGAAACAUUAUGCAAAUCAUUGUAUUUACAGUCUCAUCAGCAACGCUUAGAGCUCUGUGAGUGCUCCACAUCCUUGCCAACACUUGAUAAUGUUGGACUUUUUCAUUUUAUCCUCUCUAUUGGGUGCGUUGGUACUUCGUGUGAUUUUAACCUCUUGUGAUUUGAGGGAAUUUCUGUAUUUCCUUUUGUGAUCUGUUCUUUCCUGUUUGGUUCCCUUCUUAGUUUUGCUUUUAUUCACAGGACAUAUUUACACACAAAGACUGAAAGCCGGAGGCUGGGAGACGGCUCCGUGGGUAAACAGCUGGCCCUGAGGACCUUGUGAGCUGAGUUUGGAUCCACAGAACUUGCGGAAAGCUGGGCGCAGGUGCACAAGCGCUCCUGCAGUGCCUCGGGAGCAGAGACAGCAACACCCUGGGAGCUAGCAGGCCCGCUACCCUGCUCACACACCCGAGACUGCUCCAGCCCCGCCUUCCAAUGGGUCUAUUCUGAAACAGACCCCAGACACCGCAUCACUCUGACGGCAAAGAACUCUGUAGGUAAAGACAGAACAUGAAGAUGACUUGUGACACCCCGAAACCCACAAUGCCUUGGUGCCAUCAGAGACCCAGUUAAUGCUGAAGUUUUCCUGAUUUCACACAGGGUUUUUCACAGUUGAAUUAUUUGACCAAGAUCUAAGCAACUGUUUGGGUCUUUAAGUACUCUUUGCUGGACAGUUUUAUGUCACCUUGACACAAGCUAGAGUCGUCAGAGAGAAGGGAACCUCAAUUGAGAAAAUGCCUCCAUAAGAUCGUGUUGUAGACAAGCCGAUGGGAUCCAAGUGUGCUCAGCCCACCAGCCCCAAGCCAUGAGCAGAGUUUCUAUGGCCAUCCUGAGGACAACGAUGUCCCAGGGCAUCUUGGUUUUGCAUGAUCCCCAAGUCACUGAAUACUCAAGUGUCUUAGACUUC
Molecule: long non-coding RNA, 1896 nt
Organism: Peromyscus eremicus (cactus mouse)
Lineage: Eukaryota; Metazoa; Chordata; Mammalia; Rodentia; Cricetidae
Exons: 4
Source: RefSeq, a predicted model, not a curated record